Molecule: long non-coding RNA, 298 nt
Organism: Neopelma chrysocephalum (saffron-crested tyrant-manakin)
Lineage: Eukaryota; Metazoa; Chordata; Aves; Passeriformes; Pipridae
Exons: 3
Source: RefSeq, a predicted model, not a curated record
CAGUCCUAAAAAAACUUCUGUUUGAAAGAUCUGCAAGAAGAUGGGUAUUUCAUGAAAUGCACAGCAUGAGAAGAAGCAUUCUUAAAAAAAACCCCAAUCAAACCAACAUCAGCUGGCUGCCACCUGAAGUGACAUUUCUUCUCAUCGUCUGCCGACGAUUGGCCUCACUGUGGAGCAGCACUGGUGACUAGAAAAGGUCAUAAAACUUUUCCCAGAUCUAAAAAGCCUAUUAAUAAGGAAGAGUGGAGAUGCCAGCACUGGUUAAUAUUCCAUUUUCUAUUUUGUUAACUAUUGCAAG